CAUUCACGGAGAGUUUGAUCCUGGCUCAGGACGAACGCUGGCGGCGUGCUUAACACAUGCAAGUCGAACGAUGAACCACCUUCGGGUGGGGAUUAGUGGCGAACGGGUGAGUAACACGUGGGCAAUCUGCCCUGCACUCUGGGACAAGCCCUGGAAACGGGGUCUAAUACCGGAUACUGAACCACUUGGGCAUCCAGGCGGUUCGAAAGCUCCGGCGGUGCAGGAUGAGCCCGCGGCCUAUCAGCUUGUUGGUGAGGUAACGGCUCACCAAGGCGACGACGGGUAGCCGGCCUGAGAGGGCGACCGGCCACACUGGGACUGAGACACGGCCCAGACUCCUACGGGAGGCAGCAGUGGGGAAUAUUGCACAAUGGGCGAAAGCCUGAUGCAGCGACGCCGCGUGAGGGAUGACGGCC
RNAcentral lists this ribosomal RNA (416 nucleotides) under Streptomyces sp. SID8111. Its description in RNAcentral is "bacterial SSU rRNA". It matches the Rfam family "Bacterial small subunit ribosomal RNA", at positions 1 to 416 of the family's 1533-position model. The record is from RNAcentral. Lineage: Bacteria; Bacillati; Actinomycetota; Actinomycetes; Kitasatosporales; Streptomycetaceae.